GUAAGCUUCCAAGACUGGCGGACAUAUGGGUUUAACCAUAAGGGAUUGGAAGAGUUCAAACGUCGACCGCCUGGGCAGUAUAA
RNAcentral lists this non-coding RNA (83 nucleotides) under Dehalobacter sp. Its description in RNAcentral is "ZTP sequence". It matches the Rfam family "ZMP/ZTP riboswitch aptamer (pfl RNA motif)". Rfam says of the family: Previously known as pfl RNA. ZMP is also known as AICAR. Lineage: Bacteria; Bacillati; Bacillota; Clostridia; Eubacteriales; Desulfitobacteriaceae. The record is from RNAcentral. RNAcentral also lists the same sequence under 1 other name.